UUUAAGGUCUAACCUGCCCAAUGAGGAUUUAAAUGGCCGCAGUAUUUUGACUGUGCAAAGGUAGCAUAAUUAUUAGUUUUUUAAUUGAAAGCUUGUAUGAAGGGUUGGACGAGAUAAAAUCUGUCUUUAUUUAAAUUAAAGUAUAAUUUAACUUUUAAGUCAAAAGGCUUAAAUGUUUAUAAAAGACGAGAAGACCCUAUAGAUCUUUAUUUAGUUAAGAUUUUAAUAAUUUAGGAUUAUUUUAAUUUGGAGUCUUAAUUGAAUUUUAUUGGGGUAAUAUAAAGAUUAAAUGAAUUCUUUUUAUUUAUGACAUUAAUUUAUGAAUAUAUGAUCCAUUAAUAUUGAUUAUAAGAUUAAGUUACCUUAGGGAUAACAGCGUAAUUUUUUUGGAGAGCUCAUAUCGAUAAGAAAGUUUGCGACCUCGAUGUUGGAUUAAAAAUUAGCUUGGGUGCAGAAGCUCAAGAUUUUGGUCUGUUCGACCAUUAAAUUUUUACAUGAUCUGAGUUCAGACCGGCGUGAGCCAGGUCGGUUUCUAUCUUUAUUCAGAUAAAAUAUUUUAGUACGAAAGGACCAAGUAUUUAAUAUAAUUAUAUUUAUUUUUUGAAGAAUAUU
RNAcentral lists this ribosomal RNA (612 nucleotides) under Cicindela (Rivacindela) sp. JP-68a. Its description in RNAcentral is "partial 16S ribosomal RNA". It matches the Rfam family "Bacterial large subunit ribosomal RNA", at positions 1844 to 2739 of the family's 2925-position model. Lineage: Eukaryota; Metazoa; Arthropoda; Insecta; Coleoptera; Carabidae. The record is from RNAcentral.